RNAcentral lists this ribosomal RNA (253 nucleotides) under uncultured bacterium. RNAcentral's name for it is "partial 16S ribosomal RNA". It matches the Rfam family "Bacterial small subunit ribosomal RNA", at positions 524 to 776 of the family's 1533-position model. The record is from RNAcentral.
UACAGAGGGGGCGAGCGUUGUUCGGAAUUACUGGGCGUAAAGGGCGCGUAGGCGGCCAACUAAGUCAGACGUGAAAUCCCUCGGCUCAACCGGGGAACUGCGUCUGAUACUGGAUGGCUUGAGUGUGGGAGAGGGAUGCGGAAUUCCAGGUGUAGCGGUGAAAUGCGCAGAUAUCAGGAGGAACACCGGUGGCGAAGGCGGGUCUCUGGGCCGAUACUGACGCUGAGGAGCGAAAGCGUGGGGAGCGAACAGG